Molecule: ribosomal RNA, 256 nt
Filed under: uncultured bacterium
Lineage: Bacteria
Description: partial 16S ribosomal RNA
Rfam family: Bacterial small subunit ribosomal RNA
Source: RNAcentral
UACGUAGGUGGCAAGCGUUUGUCCGGAUUUACUGGGCGUAAAGGGCGUGCAGGCGGUCUGUUAAGUGCAGGGUGAAAGCUCCCGGCUCAACUGGGAGAGGUCCUUGCAUACUGGCGGACUUGAGGGGGGUAGAGGAAAGUGGAAUUCCCGGUGUAGUGGUGAUAUGCGUAGAUAUCUGGAGGAAUACCGGAGGCGAAGGCGGGUACCGCUGGACACUGACAACUCAGAUCCGGAAAGUGUGGGGAAUCAAACAGGA